ACGAUGAAGACACGGCGGACGGCUCAGUAACACGUAGCUAACCUGCCCUCGGGACGGAGACAACUCCGGGAAACUGGAGCUAACAUCCGAUAGGUGAGAAGUCCUGGAAUGGUUUCUUGCCUAAAGGGUGCUGGAAUCAUGCUUCCAACAUCGCUCGAGGAUGGGGCUGCGGCCGAUCAGGUAGUUGGUGAGGUAACGGCUCACCAAGCCUAUAACCGGUUCGGGCCGUGAGAGCGGGAGCCCGGAGAUGGGCACUGAGACAAGGGCCCAGGCCCUACGGGGCGCAGCAGGCGCGAAAACUCCGCAAUGCGCGUAAGCGUGACGGGGCUACCCCGAGUGUCGUCCGCUGAGGAUGACUUUUCUUUGGUGUAGGGAGCCGGAGGAAUAAGGGGAGGGCAAGUCUGGUGUCAGCCGCCGCGGUAAUACCAGCUCCCCGAGUGGUGGGGAUGAUUAUUGGGCCUAAAGCGUCCGUAGCUGGCUCGGCAAGUCUCUCGUUAAAUCCAGCGACUAAUCGUUGGACUGCGGGAGAUACUGUUGGGCUUGGGGGCGGGAGAAGCCGACGGUAUUUCCGGGGUAGGGGUAAAAUCCUAUAAUCCCGGGAAGACCACCAGUGGCGUAGGCGGUCGGCUAGCACGCGCUCGACGGUGAGGGACGAAAGCUGGGGGAGCGAACCGGAUUAGAUACCCGGGUAGUCCCAGCUGUAAACGAUGCGGGCUAGGUGUUGGAGCGGCUACGAGCCGCUUCAGUGCCGCAGGGAAGCCAUUAAGCCCGCCGCCUGGGGAGUACGGCCGCAAGGCUGAAACUUAAAGGAAUUGGCGGGGGAGCACCACAAGGGGUGAAGCUUGCGGUUUAAUUGGAGUCAACGCCGGGAACCUUACCGGGGGCGACAGCAGAAUGAAAGCCAGAUUGAUGGUCUUGCUGGACGAGCUGAGAGGAGGUGCAUGGCCGUCGCCAGUUCGUGCCGUGAGGUGUCCUGUUAAGUCAGGCAACGAUCG
RNAcentral lists this ribosomal RNA (995 nucleotides) under uncultured crenarchaeote. RNAcentral's name for it is "bacterial SSU rRNA". It matches the Rfam family "Archaeal small subunit ribosomal RNA", at positions 68 to 1047 of the family's 1478-position model. The record is from RNAcentral. Lineage: Archaea; Thermoproteati; Thermoproteota.